CCUGGUGGCUCAGUGGUAGAGAACCUGCCUGCAAUGCAGGAGACACGGGUUCAACCCCUGGGUCAGGA
Ovis aries (sheep) is the source of this 68-nucleotide transfer RNA. It matches the Rfam family "tRNA". From Rfam's summary of the family: Transfer RNA (tRNA) molecules are approximately 80 nucleotides in length. Their secondary structure includes four short double-helical elements and three loops (D, anti-codon, and T loops). Lineage: Eukaryota; Metazoa; Chordata; Mammalia; Artiodactyla; Bovidae. The record is from Rfam.